UUUCUGGCAACUGUCUAAACAUAAACCAGAGAAGGGCAAGGCAGACUCAGGAAGGACAAAUAGAAGGCUAUUUUCAUAAAUCGGGCCAAAGAGCUGUACAGCAGAAAUUACAAAGGAAGCAUUUGAUGAUGUACCCAAGAGGGUGCCCCAGUCCUCCCAUAGACGAUGCAAGGCAUACCAGAGACCCAGAAAUGUCUGUGUGGCUCAGUGGGGAAAUGUGGAGAGGCCACAAAAACCUAGAGGGGACUCUGAUUGGGAAAAGGAAGCUACACAGCCUAGGGACUUUACUCCUUGAGGCAACUGGCAAGAAGUGAUACAUUAGAAGUUAAUGCCAGCGAAAUAUUCAACAAGGUUAGGUAUAACCAGCCACAUCUCAGAGGACACCAGUAUACGGCCUUUGGGGACCAAACCAACCCCUCCGAAGCAAAGAACAUCAAGAAUGUGGAAAGUGCCCUCAACUCCUGCCACAUGAGGAUGGAUGCAACCUCCUCCUGCACAUUGGAAAGAAGGAUCAGGGAGGGACCAGCCUAUGGUAGCAGGAGGCACAGCCA
RNAcentral lists this long non-coding RNA (551 nucleotides) under Pan troglodytes (chimpanzee). RNAcentral's name for it is "long non-coding RNA NONPTRT015860". Lineage: Eukaryota; Metazoa; Chordata; Mammalia; Primates; Hominidae. The record is from RNAcentral.